Molecule: long non-coding RNA, 1114 nt
Organism: Eptesicus fuscus (big brown bat)
Lineage: Eukaryota; Metazoa; Chordata; Mammalia; Chiroptera; Vespertilionidae
Exons: 3
Source: RefSeq, a predicted model, not a curated record
GAGCCCAGACAAAAGACCAAGGUCUUCAAAAUGGAAUAACUGGGUUUGAAUCUCAGCUUUGAUAUUUACCAGAUACAGCAGAAGUGGGAUCAGCUACAAGGUAAAAAUCUGCAGGAUCAACAUGAUUUUGAUUCUGAAUUUGGUGCUCUCUACCAGGGGUUGCUAUCAAGCUUUCCUCCCUGCCCUCCAUUAAGACGUGUGAACGCUCAGGGAGGCCUUCCCUGAGGACCUAUAUGGCACGGCUUCAAGAGAUGAUGGCUUGACAGCAUUCAGAGUUUAAUGCAAUGCCCUUGGCGGUCCUGGAUCUGUCUCUGCUUUAACAGUGUUUGGAUGGAACAGACCCCGGGACGCCCCUUCUUCCUGCCUCUGACCACCCUCCAGGGUCUUAUCCAGUCACCACCUUCAGAACCACCUCCGGGACCAGCCAACACACCGGGUUUUUCUCUACCGUAACUCCUAUUGCCGAACAACCAGGAGCUCCCAAACCCGUCAGAAUUAUUCCACCGAGGGGGAGGCUGCCGCCAACCGCAGGGCCUGCAUCUGCAGGCUCCCACCUACCUCUCUCUGGGCUGCUUUUUCGAACACAAGAACACAACGAUGUGGCCCUCCAGGGCAGGAGUGGGUGGAGAAGAAGCGGGAGGGCGCUAAGUGGCUCCUAAAGUUGCAAUUCUCUCCAGGACGUGCUGAGCCUCCCCAAGACGAGUGGGUAAAACUCAGGAUGCCAUGGAGGCCGCCCUGGCCUUGGAGAGGAACCUGACCAGGCCCUUUGGGAGCUGCAGGCCCUGGUUCUACCCGCGCAGCCCCUCAGCCCGUGACUUCCGGGAGAACCACUUCCGGGGCAAGAAGGUGAAACUCAUCAAGAAGAUGGGCGACGCCUGGCUCACCUCCGCAGCUGGCCGGCCCCCAGCUGAGCUGGGCAAGUGUGUUUUCGAAAGGCUCACCCUCCAGCACGACUAGGAGCCUUUGGAGCCCUGAGGCCUUUGAGGGGCCCCUCUGCAUUUCCCUGGUGUCUGGCUUUUACUUGAACCUUACCCUGAAACUACUAGCCAUUCUUUUAACCACCCUGAAGCCCUCUCCCAUGCAUUGGACCAAAUGAAACAAUAAAGCUUUUUGC